This 253-nucleotide ribosomal RNA is filed under the name uncultured bacterium. RNAcentral describes it as "partial 16S ribosomal RNA". It matches the Rfam family "Bacterial small subunit ribosomal RNA", at positions 524 to 776 of the family's 1533-position model. The record is from RNAcentral.
CACGUAGGGCGCGAGCGUUGUCCGGAAUUAUUGGGCGUAAAGGGCGCGUAGGCGGUGCCACAAGUCACCUGUGAAAUCUCCGGGCUUAACUCGGAGCCUGCAGGCGAAACUGUGGUGCUGGAGUGUGGGAGAGGUGCGUGGAAUUCCCGGUGUAGCGGUGAAAUGCGUAGAGAUCCGGAAGAACACCAGUGGCGAAGGCGGCCCGCUGGGCAGUGGCUGACGCUGAGGCGCGACAGCGUGGGGAGCAAACAGG